UACACACCGCCCGUCAAGCCACGAAAUUGGGGCGCGCCCGAAGUCGCUGCAGGAACCGCAAGGACCAAAGUGCCGAAGGUGAGCUCCGAGAUUGGGACU
Molecule: ribosomal RNA, 99 nt
Filed under: uncultured bacterium
Lineage: Bacteria
Description: partial 16S ribosomal RNA
Rfam family: Bacterial small subunit ribosomal RNA
Source: RNAcentral